ACUUUCAAAUAUACAAUCUGCUAUUAUUAACUAUAGUCACCAUGCUGCACAUUACAUCCCCAAGAUUUAACUUAUCUUGGUUUGUUUUUUAAGUGGUGGUUUGCCUGGUCAGGAGUUCAGGACAUUCCUUUCCCUGGUGAACUCAAACCAGCUGGGAGUAGAAGGCUUGUUUGACUGAUCCACCCAACCUCAGGCAGAGAAGGGGGAAGAAAGAUGGCUGGGUCUGCUCCCUCAUGCAGCUGUGAAGUGGGGGCUGCCGGCACCACACUGAGGUAGGUGGUCCAUAGGAGUUGGAGCAUUUAUGAUGGGCCCUGAUACAAGGCAGGGAGUCUACCUUAACCCGGCCCAGUAGACGUCAGUCUCCAUAGCUUCACCAAUCUGGUAAAUUAUUCCCAUGGGGGGGUGUAAGGGAGAGGUCUGCAUCAGGUGUCGCCCCAAUACACCCAUCCCCUGAGGGGCUAAGGAGGGGAUGUGGGGCUGGGAGGAGAAGGCUGUUCCACUAUAGAGGCCUCUGGUCGAUCAGAACUUGACAGAUUCCCCCAGGCUGGAUACAAACUUCCCUGGAUCUGACAUCCAGCUAGACACUUCAGCUACGAAACGGGAGGGUAAAGGAAGCAGUCACGUGUUAUUUCAACCAUCAUGCAGUCUUGCAGCUAUCCUGAGCAAGGGCUGGGUGUGAACCAGAGGAGGCAGACGCGCUGGUCCUGGGUUUCUACCCACAGUGCCAAGCUGGCCUCUGGGCUUCUGUGCUGUGAUUUCCCAAAGGUCCCUGAGGAAAUCACGGCUCCCUGCAGUCCUGCAGCCCUCUCAGGAGAAGUGAAGGUGUCCCUCGAGGAUAUUUCAGCUGGCUUUUGGUGGCCACGGAAUCAGAAGAGGAUUGGAAGCCUAGGAUACAGAUGUCCCUCGCUUGCUCCCACCAGAUAAACACCGACUCCUGAGCUUACCAGGCACCUGGAGCUAGGAACUUCCCUGGCGCACCAGCCAGGUCUAGCAGACCACUGCCACGUGUCUACAUUAGGAGACUUGGAGCAUGCAGGCAGAGGCCUCCCUCACAGCCUUGGAGCCUUCUUCCCCACGGCCUGGGUUCCUGCAGAACAGUAGGCACCAACUGAAAAGGCCUACAUGGGCUCAGCAUCACCAAAUGCCGGCCCAAGAGGUGUCCUAAGAAGAUUCAUCCGCUCACGUUUAUUAGGUGCUGUUGUGUGCCAGGCGCUGUGCUGAGCAAUUUGGAUGCUGAGCUGGUUGAAUCCUUGCAAUGCUUCUAUUAGGCAGGUACUGUUCCAUCAUCCUCAUUGUACAGGUGAGAAAACUGAAGUUCAGAGAGCUUAAUAAGCAACCUGCUCUGGGUCACACAGGAAGUGCGGGAGCUGGGGUCUGAACCAGGUCGAUGGGCCUCCAAACCUUGAGGCAUCCCCACCUUCAGUGCACGGUGAGAUGGACGGAGUAAAGGCAGGAGGUAGAGAAUUAUCUGUAUCUUCUUGGACAUCAGAGUAGAAGAGGCUA
Aethalodelphis obliquidens (Pacific white-sided dolphin) is the source of this 1503-nucleotide long non-coding RNA. RefSeq lists it as uncharacterized. Lineage: Eukaryota; Metazoa; Chordata; Mammalia; Artiodactyla; Delphinidae. The record is from RefSeq and is a predicted model, not a curated record. The transcript is spliced from 3 exons.